This 647-nucleotide long non-coding RNA is filed under the name Aquilegia coerulea. RNAcentral describes it as "long non-coding RNA (ACOE_LNC001531)". Lineage: Eukaryota; Viridiplantae; Streptophyta; Magnoliopsida; Ranunculales; Ranunculaceae. The record is from RNAcentral.
GUUGGAAGUGUAAUUUGAGACAAAUGAAGCAUUGAAAGCAUGUUUCAUUCCAGGUUGUUGACUCAGUCCUGGAUCUGUGAGUCUGUGACUGAUUCUUUUGUUUGAUUAUGGUUAGGCCAGCUUAUAACAAGCUCUGUUUGUAACUUCUUACUUUACAUGCAAAACGGGGAGACGGGGAAGGAAAUACUUUGACAUUUGCUUUAUGCCCUUAUGUACUGAAUUGACUGCAGUUGUUCGCGACAAAGGCCCUGCUUGGUUACCCCGCAAAAAUUUGCAAGAAAUUUAGCCUAAUUUAAUAUGCUUAAAACUCUUGAUAAUUAAUUUUAUGCACAAAAUUUAUGCAAAAGUUUGGUGCUAUUUUAAAAGUGCAAAAUUUUUACACCUUUCUCUAAUAAACUAGUAGGGGACCAUUUAUGAUUAUCUCAUGUUUAUGAGAGUUUUAAGUGGGGGACCAAUAAGGUUUAAGCUAAAGUAGGUGGGGGUCCAUUCAAAUCAAAGAAUAAAUUUGGGAGGGACCACUCUAACUCUAGAUGGGUAAAGAUUUGCCUUUUUUGCAGCCCAAACAAGCAGGGCCAAAGAUAAGGAGAAUUGAACAUAAUAUACAUGACUAAUAGUACACUCAUUUGAACCCUUCUGUCAAGGCAACC